CGGGAUCCGUCCCGUGCAAGGAAUGUGGCGGUUCAUCCGCUGAACCUCAGG
RNAcentral lists this non-coding RNA (51 nucleotides) under unclassified sequences. RNAcentral describes it as "eL15-Euryarchaeota ribosomal protein leader". It matches the Rfam family "eL15-Euryarchaeota ribosomal protein leader". The record is from RNAcentral.